This 613-nucleotide unclassified non-coding RNA is filed under the name Hevea brasiliensis (rubber tree). The record is from RNAcentral. Lineage: Eukaryota; Viridiplantae; Streptophyta; Magnoliopsida; Malpighiales; Euphorbiaceae.
GCACGGGCCAUGCCUGCAUCCUGCCACAUACAUUCAGCAUCUUGAGGGGGAUGCUGAGCGGCAAAAUGUUGCAAUUGGUAGGGUGCAGGCAUGAACAACUGAGACUUGGUGGAGUGGAUUGUUCAGCUUGCAGUAUUUUCCGCAUCCACCCACCAGUCUCAGUUUCACAGAGCCUCCUGCAUUGCUCUGAGGAUGCUCAUAUUCCUUGGCAGUUCCAUUGCAUGGAUGAGCACUCAAAAGCUAUGAUGACUAUGACGGCGAUGAUGACGACAAAUUAAAUCAGCAAGAGUUCAGAGCCGGAAACUAAGAAGUUUGAUCUGUUUUAGCCUCAUCAAAGCUCCAAGCAGAAAUGGAACUCAGUUAGAGAUUUCAGAGUAAAUUUGUUGACAGGACAUGCAGCCUAAGGUAGCUUUGGUGCUAGACUGACGGUGAUAACAAAGAGCUCUGUUCUCCUAUGGCAAAAGCAAAUCUCCAGGAGAGACUCUGCAAAUUAUGUAUUUAAACGUAAAAGUGUUUCCCCUUUUCAUUUUGUUCAGACGAUAUUCAACUGAUUUGGUCUUUCGCCAACUUAUUUGUAGCUGAAGCGUUUUGUUCACAACUCUUUUCAUUUCUC